Molecule: ribosomal RNA, 468 nt
Filed under: uncultured bacterium
Lineage: Bacteria
Description: partial 16S ribosomal RNA
Rfam family: Bacterial small subunit ribosomal RNA
Source: RNAcentral
GACGAACGCUGGCGGCGUGCUUAACACAUGCAAGUCGAACGGAAAGACCCUGCUUUUGUGGGGUUCUCGAUUGGCGAACGCGUGAGUAACACGUGAGUAACCUGCCCUUGACUUUGGGAUAACUUCAGGAAACUGGGGCUAAUACCGGAUAGGAUCUCCUGCUCCAUGGUGGGCAUUGGAAAUUUUCGGCGGUUGGGGCUGGACUCGCGGCUUAUUAGCUUGCUGGUUGGGUAGUUGCUUACCAAGCCUUUGACGGGUAGCCGGCAUGAGAGGGUGACCAGCGACAAGGGGACUGCGAUACGGAGCAGACUGCAAUGGUAGGCAGUGGUCGGGAGUAUUGCACAAUGGGAGGAAGCCUGAUGCAAAAACGCCGGGUGCGGAAUGCCGGCCUGUGGGUUGUAAACAGCUUUCGCCUGUGACGAAGCGUGAGUGACGGUAAUGGGUAAAGAAGCACCGGCUAACUACGUG